CUAGGUGGCAAGCGUUGUCCGGGAAUUAUUGGGGCGUAAAGCGCGCGCAGGCGGUUCUUUAAGUCUGAUGUGAAAGCCCACGGGCUCAACCGUGGAGGGUCAUUGGAAACUGGAGAACUUGAGUACAGAAGAGGAAAGCGGAAUUCCACGUGUAGCGGUGAAAUGCGUAGAGAUGUGGAGGAACACCAGUGGCGAAGGCGGCUUUCUGGUCUGUAACUGACGCUGAGGCGCGAAAGCGUGGGGAGCAAACAGGAUUAGAUACCCUGGUAGUCCACGCCGUAAACGAUGAGUGCUAAGUGUUAGGGGGUUUCCGCCCCUUAGUGCUGCAGCUAACGCAUUAAGCACUCCGCCUGGGGAGUACGGCCGCAAAGGCUGA
RNAcentral lists this ribosomal RNA (376 nucleotides) under uncultured organism. RNAcentral describes it as "partial 16S ribosomal RNA". It matches the Rfam family "Bacterial small subunit ribosomal RNA", at positions 527 to 897 of the family's 1533-position model. The record is from RNAcentral.